This 620-nucleotide ribosomal RNA is filed under the name Cortinarius aff. multicolor UBC F17146 OC74. RNAcentral's name for it is "eukaryotic LSU rRNA". It matches the Rfam family "Eukaryotic large subunit ribosomal RNA", at positions 1 to 623 of the family's 3401-position model. The record is from RNAcentral. Lineage: Eukaryota; Fungi; Basidiomycota; Agaricomycetes; Agaricales; Cortinariaceae.
UGUGACCUCAAAUCAGGUAGGACUACCCGCUGAACUUAAGCAUAUCAAUAAGCGGAGGAAAAGAAACUAACAAGGAUUCCCCUAGUAACUGCGAGUGAAGCGGGAAAAGCUCAAAUUUAAAAUCUGGCAGUCUUUUGGCUGUCCGAGUUGUAAUCUAGAGAAGUGUUAUCCGCGCUGGACCGUGUACAAGUCUCCUGGAAUGGAGCAUCAUAGAGGGUGAGAAUCCCGUCUUUGACAUGGACUGCCAGGGCUUUGUGAUGCGCUCUCAAAGAGUCGAGUUGUUUGGGAAUGCAGCUCAAAAUGGGUGGUAAAUUCCAUCUAAAGCUAAAUAUUGGCGAGAGACCGAUAGCGAACAAGUACCGUGAGGGAAAGAUGAAAAGAACUUUGGAAAGAGAGUUAAACAGUACGUGAAAUUGCUGAAAGGGAAACGCUUGAAGUCAGUCACAUCAUCCAGGGAUCAACCUUGCUUUUGCUUGGUGCACUUUCUGGUUUGAUGGGUCAGCAUCAAUUUUGACCAUUGGAAAAAGGUUAAGGGAAUGUGGCAUCUUUGGAUGUGUUUAUAGCCCUUGGUCACAUACAAUGGUUGGGAUUGAGGAACUCAGCACGCCGCAAGGCCCGGG